This 682-nucleotide ribosomal RNA is filed under the name uncultured Actinomycetes bacterium. Its description in RNAcentral is "bacterial SSU rRNA". It matches the Rfam family "Bacterial small subunit ribosomal RNA", at positions 78 to 772 of the family's 1533-position model. The record is from RNAcentral. Lineage: Bacteria; Bacillati; Actinomycetota; Actinomycetes.
GGCAACACUGGAGAAGACCUAGUGGCGAACGGGUGAGUAACACGUGAGGAACCUGCCCCGAAGACCGGGAUAACCCUCCGAAAGGAGAGCUAAUACCGGAUGUCCCCACCGGAUCGCAUGGCCUGGUGAGGAAAUGGAUUCCGCUUCGGGAGGGCCUCGCGGCCUAUCAGCUUGUUGGUGGGGUAACGGCCUACCAAGGCAUCGACGGGUAGCUGGUCUGAGAGGACGAUCAGCCACACUGGGACUGAGACACGGCCCAGACUCCUACGGGAGGCAGCAGUGGGGAAUCUUGCGCAAUGGGCGAAAGCCUGACGCAGCAACGCCGCGUGGGGGAUGAGGGCUUUCGGGUUGUAAACCCCUUUCAGUAGGGACGAAUUCAGACGGUACCUACAGAAGAAGCCCCGGCCAACUACGUGCCAGCAGCCGCGGUAACACGUAGGGGGCAAGCGUUGUCCGGAUUUAUUGGGCGUAAAGAGCUCGUAGGCUGUUCGGUAAGUCGGGUGUGAAACCCCCAGGCUCAACCUGGGGACGCCACCUGAUACUGCUGUGACUCGAGUCCGGUAGGGGAGCGUGGAAUUCCUGGUGUAGCGGUGAAAUGCGCAGAUAUCAGGAGGAACACCAGCGGCGAAGGCGGCGCUCUGGGCCGGUACUGACGCUGAGGAGCGAAAGCGUGGGUAGCAAA